AAACCAUGCAUUGGGCAUUUGCGCAACAAAUAUUUGAAACGCUCCCAAGCUUCAUAUAGAUUCUCUCAUCUAUUUUCUUGAAUGAUAUAAGAUCAUUCCUUAAUUU
Molecule: small nucleolar RNA, 106 nt
Organism: Hibiscus syriacus
Lineage: Eukaryota; Viridiplantae; Streptophyta; Magnoliopsida; Malvales; Malvaceae
Source: RefSeq, a predicted model, not a curated record